RNAcentral lists this ribosomal RNA (448 nucleotides) under uncultured bacterium. RNAcentral's name for it is "bacterial SSU rRNA". It matches the Rfam family "Bacterial small subunit ribosomal RNA", at positions 329 to 797 of the family's 1533-position model. The record is from RNAcentral.
GACCAGACUCCUACGGGAGGCAGCAGUGGGGAAUAUUGCACAAUGGGGGAAACCCUGAUGCAGCGACGCCGCGUGAGUGAAGAAGUAUUUCGGUAUGUAAAGCUCUAUCAGCAGGGAAGAAAAUGACGGUACCUGACUAAGAAGCCCCGGCUAACUACGUGCCAGCAGCCGCGGUAAUACGUAGGGGGCAAGCGUUAUCCGGAUUUACUGGGUGUAAAGGGAGCGUAGACGGCAUGGCAAGUCAGAUGUGAAAGCCCGGGGCUCAACCCCGGGACUGCAUUUGAAACUGUCAGGCUGGAGUGCAGGAGAGGUAAGUGGAAUUCCUAGUGUAGCGGUGAAAUGCGUAGAUAUUAGGAGGAACACCAGUGGCGAAGGCGGCUUACUGGACUGUAACUGACGUUGAGGCUCGAAAGCGUGGGGAGCAAACAGGAUUAGAUACCCGCGUACA